GACGAACGCUGGCGGCGUGCCUAAUACAUGCAAGUAGAACGCUGAAGGAGGAGCUUGCUUCUCUGGAUGAGUUGCGAACGGGUGAGUAACGCGUAGGUAACCUGCCUGGUAGCGGGGGAUAACUAUUGGAAACGAUAGCUAAUACCGCAUAAGAGUAGAUGUCGCAUGACAUUUGCUUAAAAGGUGCAAUUGCAUCACUACCAGAUGGACCUGCGUUGUAUUAGCUAGUUGGUGAGGUAACGGCUCACCAAGGCAACGAUACAUAGCCGACCUGAGAGGGGGAUCGGCCACACUGGGACUGAGACGCGGCCCAGACUCCUACGGGAGGCAGCAGUAGGGAAUCUUCGGCAAUGGACGGAAGUCUGACCGAGCAACGCCGCGUGAGUGAAGAAGGUUUUCGGAUCGUAAAGCUCUGUUGUAAGAGAAGAACGAGUGUGAGAGUGGAAAGUUCACACUGUGACGGUAUCUUACCAGAAAGGGACGGCUAACUACGUG
Molecule: ribosomal RNA, 495 nt
Filed under: uncultured bacterium
Lineage: Bacteria
Description: partial 16S ribosomal RNA
Rfam family: Bacterial small subunit ribosomal RNA
Source: RNAcentral